RNAcentral lists this ribosomal RNA (150 nucleotides) under uncultured bacterium. RNAcentral's name for it is "partial 16S ribosomal RNA". It matches the Rfam family "Bacterial small subunit ribosomal RNA", at positions 338 to 485 of the family's 1533-position model. The record is from RNAcentral.
CCUACGGGAGGCAGCAGUGAGGAAUAUUGGACAAUGGGCGAAAGCCUGAUCCAGCCAUGCCGCGUGAAGGAUGAAUGCCCUAUGGGUUGUAAACUUCUUUUAUACAGGAAGAAACCUUUGGAUUUAUCCAGAGCUGACAUUACUGUACGA